This 768-nucleotide ribosomal RNA is filed under the name Psyttala horrida. RNAcentral describes it as "SSU rRNA". It matches the Rfam family "Eukaryotic small subunit ribosomal RNA", at positions 488 to 1172 of the family's 1831-position model. Lineage: Eukaryota; Metazoa; Arthropoda; Insecta; Hemiptera; Reduviidae. The record is from RNAcentral.
GGACUCUAUUGAGGCCCGUAAUCGGAAUGAGUACACUUUAAAUCCUUUAACAAGGAUCCAUUGGAGGGCAAGUCUGGUGCCAGCAGCCGCGGUAAUUCCAGCUCCAAUAGCGUAUAUAAAAGUUGUUGCGGUUAAAAAGCUCGUAGUUGGUUCUGCGUGCCGCGCUGUCGGUUCGCCGCCUGUCGGUGUAAAUGGCAUGUCGCGGCAUGUCCUGUCGGUGGUGAGCGGGAUUCCCGGUGCAGGCUAGGCUUUUAUAGCCGAAGCUUGUGCCGUGUGAAGUCCGUUUGCCGAUCUCUCCUACUCCGGUGCUCUUAAACAAGUGUCAAGGUAGGCCGACGCUUUCACUUUGAACAAAUUAGAGUGCUUAAAGCAGGCUGAAAUAUCUGCCUGAAUAGUGGUGCAUGGAAUGAUAAAAUAGGACCUCGGUUGUAUUUUGUUGGUUUUAGGAAUGUGAGGUAAUGAUCAAUGUGGACUGGCGGGGGCAUUCGUAUUGCGACGUUAGAGGUGAAAUUCUUGGAUCGUCGCAAGACGCAAUAAAGUGAAAGCAUUUCCCAAGUAUGUCUUAAUUGAUCAUAAAUGAAACUUAGAGGUUCGAAGGCAAUCAGAUACCGCCCUAGUUCUAACCAUAAACGAUGCCAGCCAGCGAUCCGCCGAUGUUCCAUUAAUGACUCGGUGGGGAGCUUCCACCCGGGAAACCAAAGCUUUUGGGUUCCGGGGGAAGUAUGGUUGCAAAGCUGAAACUUAAAGAAAUGACGGAAGGCACCACCA